AUAAGUAGGCAUGGGCAGUGGCUGUUCACAUCCAGCACACCUUUUCCAUUUGCUAAGAAGGCCCUGCCAGGCUGGGAGGGAGUUUGUCCCUGCCUGACUCUGGAGAGAAGAGCCACUGUGACGAUCCACAGGCACCAUGAAACUGCUUCAAGGGACCGUACUUUGUCUUCUUCUGUCCAGUCUUUGUAGCAGUGUGGACGACGCAGAAGUCAAAGAUACAACCACUCCUGUAUUAUCAUCAACUUCUGCAACAAAAACAUCUGUACCAACAUCAGACACAACGUCAUCACCAAAUGUUGCAGAGAAAUCAACAGUUGAAAUAUCUACUAAAGGAGCUACCAGCAAGGAACCCUUAGAAACAUCUCUGCUGUCAACACUGUCUUCAGUAACCACAGCAGUUAGUGGUGAAGGAUCUACAGCCAAAGGUGUCACGAAGACUGAGUUCAUCACUACAAGAGAAACAGUGACAAGUCUUCCACUUCCAAAUGCUAUUUCAACAUUACAAAGUUCCCAGUCCAAGACUGAGAUUCAGAGUUCAAUCAAAGCCACAGAAACACCAGUUAACACUCUACAACCAGAUGCAUCACCUUCCAGAAUCCCUACAUUAUCCUCAAUAUCAGUAACAAUUCUGGAAAACAUCUCCCAGUCUCAAGGCACUGAGAACGCAAAAAAUGCAAGCUCUUCUUCAACCAACCCCUCUUAUUCCAGUAUUAUUUUGCCUGUGGUUAUUGCUUUGAUUGCAAUAACACUUUCAGUCUUUGCUUUGGUGGGUUUGUAUCGAAUGUGCUGGAAGACAGACCCAGGCACACCUGAAAAUGGAAAUGACCAACCUCAGUCCGAUAAAGAGAGUGUGAAGCUUCUCACUGUUAAGACAAUUUCUCAUGAGUCUGGUGAACACUCUGCACAAGGAAAAACCAAGAACUGACAGCUUGAUGGAUCCUCUCCACACCUGGGCAAUAAAUAUAGGUAAAUAGCUUCUGUUGCCUUUCUGAGUAAUUGUGGAAUUACAUAACAAUGUUCUGAAGAGUAAAGAUGAAAGUAAUGGGAAGAAACAUGUUUGAAAUUGGCUUACUCUUCAGCUUCUGUGCUCCAGAGGUAGAAAGGGAGAAAGCCCUGUGGAUUCAAUCCUGACUUCCAACCCUGCUCGCCAGUGUGCACCAGUCACCUGUCCCAAUAAAGUGAUGUCCAGAUGACACGCAAUAAUAGAAGAGAAUCGGAAACCAUCCUCGGCCUCUCCUGUCCUUUAAGAUGUGAAAAAACACAUUACCACAUUUUAUAGGAACAUUCCUAGGGGAGGGAAUUUUAGGAGGGGCAUCUGUGAGCAGGUAACCUGACAGCCCAGGCAGGUGGCUUCACUGAUGAAAUGACUGUCCCUUGAGUUUAAAGUUUUCAGAACUAACAUUUCUUAUCCACAGAGACUUUCCUACUUUCUCAGUGUUCUUUUGUUACCUAACGUUUGUAUUUAUUGUUUUCCACUAUGUUAAUGCAGGGAACAUUUGCAAGUGUAUUAAAUAUUGGGUCGAAAUCCUGCCAUGCCACUUUGUACAUAAAGAUAUUUUAUUCAUGC
Balaenoptera musculus (blue whale) is the source of this 1567-nucleotide RNA transcript. It is a transcript of the gene named endomucin, with no coding region annotated. The transcript has 13 exons. The record is from RefSeq and is a predicted model, not a curated record. NCBI's taxonomy places the organism in Eukaryota, Metazoa, Chordata, Mammalia, Artiodactyla, Balaenopteridae.